AACGAACGCUGGCGGCAUGCCUAACACAUGCAAGUCGAACGAUGCCUUCGGGCAUAGUGGCGCACGGGUGCGUAACGCGUGGGAAUCUGCCUUUCGGUUCGGAAUAACUCAGGGAAACUUGAGCUAAUACCGGAUAACGUCGCAAGACCAAAGAUUUAUCACCGAAAGAUGAGCCCGCGUAGGAUUAGCUAGUUGGUGAGGUAAAGGCUCACCAAGGCGACGAUCCUUAGCUGGUCUGAGAGGAUGAUCAGCCACACUGGGACUGAGACACGGCCCAGACUCCUACGGGAGGCAGCAGUGGGGAAUAUUGGAUAAUGGGCGAAAGCCUGAUCCAGCAAUGCCGCGUGAGUGAUGAAGGCCUUAGGGUUGUAAAGCUCUUUUACCCGGGAAGAUAAUGACGGUACCGGGAGAAUAAGCCCCGGCUAACUCCGUG
Molecule: ribosomal RNA, 433 nt
Filed under: uncultured bacterium
Lineage: Bacteria
Description: partial 16S ribosomal RNA
Rfam family: Bacterial small subunit ribosomal RNA
Source: RNAcentral